This 262-nucleotide unclassified non-coding RNA is filed under the name uncultured fungus. RNAcentral's name for it is "sequence contains ITS1, 5.8S rRNA gene". The stretch from base 214 to 262 matches the Rfam family "5.8S ribosomal RNA", at positions 1 to 49 of the family's 154-position model. The record is from RNAcentral. Lineage: Eukaryota; Fungi.
UCUCCGUUGGUGAACCAGCGGAGGGAUCAUUACAGGAUUCGCAAGAACUCCCGUAACCACUGUGAACCUUACCUUCUGUUGCCUCGGCGCAGGCUGGGAGCUUCUGUAAACUCCCCCACGCGGACUCACCUCUGCGCGGAGCAGGCCCGCCGGCGGCCCCACCAAACUCUUGUUUUUAGUGUCUCUUCUGAGUUAAACAAACAAAUGAAUCAAAACUUUCAACAACGGAUCUCUUGGUUCUGGCAUCGAUGAAGAACGCAGC